GAAACUUUUGGCAUACCAUCUGUAGGGUGUCAGGAAUGGUUCAGGGCCCAGACUUAGAAAUAUGGACCAAGAUUUAUGAGGUUAAUGAUGUUCAGGGGAAACAGGCUGGUUUUUAAACAGAGAGCUCCUAACAAGCCUUGCAAGUACAUUCUCCAAUAGAAGGACUCAUGGUACACUGCCUGGGUUUAUCCACAUGCCACUUUCUUCUUUCCUUUACCUCAUGAGUAUGGUUGCAUCCUUAAUGUAUCUCUUUUGUCGUUUGCCCAGGUUCUCUGAGAUCUGACAGGAAUUACAUGGGAGAACUGGGAGCUGUAUUGUCAAGGCAAUGCAAUGUCCCUUCAGAUGAUUUUGACAGAAAUGAGCAAAAGGCAGUCUACAGGUACAGUCACACCUCAUGAAAGGAGACCCAUCUCCAGUGCAAAGGUUGGGAUGAAUAUCUGGAAAAAAGGCGCCCUCAGCUCCAAAGCCGCAGCUGCCAGACUAUCGUACCUGUCUAGGUAUAAAUUCCUGUAAGCAAAUGGCUAGUAUUUUUGACCAACAUGGACUUCUACUCAUUCAGUCAAGUGUAUUUAGUCUGGGAGGUUUCAAGCGAGCUCUCAGUUCUGUGAGGCAGGACAGCCAAAGUCCUUCUUCCUUCACUGAGGCAGAUGCAUAGCAAAAGACCCUCAUCAAUCUAAUUUGCAAAGCGUUGUCUGUUUUGGGGGCAUUUCCUAAACAGAGACAUUGUUUUGUUUUAGUUUUAUGAGACAAAAAUGGUGUUUUCUGUUAUUUCAUUCUGCAUUUCUCCCCUUUAUUUUAAGCACUCAUUUUUUGCUUUUUAGAUCAUUAAA
This 830-nucleotide long non-coding RNA is filed under the name Anas platyrhynchos platyrhynchos (common mallard). Its description in RNAcentral is "lncRNA (ENSAPLG00000029575.1)". The record is from RNAcentral. Lineage: Eukaryota; Metazoa; Chordata; Aves; Anseriformes; Anatidae.